Molecule: ribosomal RNA, 208 nt
Rfam family: Bacterial small subunit ribosomal RNA
CGUGCAGGCGGGUCUGCCAGUCGGGUGUGAAAUAUUCGGGCUUAACCCGGACAGGUCAUCCGAAACUGCGGAUCUUGAGUACUGGAGAGGAUAGUGGAAUUCCUAGUGUAGCGGUAAAAUGCGUAGAUAUUAGGAGGAACACCAGUGGCGAAGGCGGCUAUCUGGACAGUAACUGACGCUGAGGCGCGAAAGCGUGGGGAGCAAACAG